Molecule: long non-coding RNA, 3535 nt
Filed under: Equus caballus (horse)
Lineage: Eukaryota; Metazoa; Chordata; Mammalia; Perissodactyla; Equidae
Description: lncRNA (ENSECAG00000056121.1)
Source: RNAcentral
GUUCCAGAGAACCUAAGUGCGGGAUUGCUACCUGAUCGUUUUGGACUUCUCCAGAUUGAAGAUCAUAAAGCAAAACAAACAAACAAAAUGUUACUGUGCUAACAGGAAUAAUAGAAUCUGAUUAUCAUGAAGAGAUAGGAUUGCUGCCACCUGAUGGAGCCCCAGGUUUUCUUCUCCAUCCAAGGUCAGCUCGUAAAGCAUUUUGCUUUCACCUGCAGAAGACCACAGAUAAAUUUAUGCUGGUUUCUUCACCUGAUAAACCUGUCAAGACAAGAUCCAAGACUCAUCUCUCCCAUUAGUUCAACAAAGCCUUGAUCUCUUUGGAGUAUUAAGUGACAUGCCAGGCACUGGAUAAAUAUCAAAAGGAAACAAAUAAGAAAACACUUUUUAAACAGAGUGGUAGGAGCUAAAACUGAACUGUGUACAGAGGCUUUUCAAGGGAUGAAUAAGUGCUGAGUGGCAGAGUAGAAGAUGGUGGUGCUGGAGAAAGAGUUCUGGGAAAUUUUCACUAAAGUGAUAAACUGUUUGGAACAGGGCUCCCUCCCUAAGUGGUAAUGACCUCUCUGGGAAUAGCCAAUACAAUAUAUGCAUAGUGUGCAAUAUAUGUAUAUGAUGCAUAGUGUGAGUUUUAUAUGCCAUUUGGCCCUUUAAUCCCAAAGGCAUAGACUAUGCUUUGCAUCAGAGGCUGCCUGCAAUCCUUUACAUCCCAUUAAAUCAAUUUGUCACCCUGGGAACCCAGCCACCAUGUUAUUAGGAAGUACAAACCACAUGGAGAGGCCAGUGAUGAACAUACUGGUCAACAGCUUCAAGUAGCAGCCAGUAUUACCCACAAGAUAUGUGAGCAAGGAAGUCUUCAAAUCAUUCCAGAACCCAGAUUUCCAGCUGCCCCAGCUGACACCUAUUGUAACAAGGAUGAACUAUCCCUACUGAACCCUGGAACCCUGCCCAAACUAUAGAUUGAUGAGUAUAAUAGAUGUUUUUGUUGUGUUAAGCCACUGAAUUUUGGGGCAAUGUUUUUUAAUCUGGACUUAUAAGUAGAAUGAUCAAUAUGACUAUGUGAGGCAAAGAAACUCUGAAUGAAACUCUGAAAUACCUCUUGAAAGAGUUUGCAGAAUACUAAAGCAGCAUAGGAUAAGCAUACAAAUCUUUAUAGUAUAAGGCAGAAUAUUUUCACAAAAUGUGUAAUCAUAAAGGCAUAAUGGUCAUGAAGGUUGUUAGGCUGACACAGGACACGUACCAAUUUUGGAGUCAGGAAAUACUUCAUGGAAGAGGUGGCAUUUCAGAUGUACUUUGUACAUUUAUUUCCGGGAAAAUUAUGUGUUUUUAUUCUUAUACAAAAUUUGUACUUUGAUGAUAAUUUAGUUUCUUAGGACUAUAGCAUAAGUCUGAUAAAUGUAGUUUUAAAGAAAUUUCUUUCCCAUUCUCAGUCAAUACUCUGUCCAUAUAUGCAGACUAAAAAUAAGUGUGGAAUGAGACCCUCUGCAUGAGUUCUAUAAUAAAAUCUGUCGGACAUGCAAAGAGAUAAAUAGAUGUAUUUGCUUCACGUCUUUCACUAGGGCUUAGGAGACAUUUGGGGCACCUGAAAGUGCAUAGGCAGUUAAAUUGAACAAUUAGCUGCCCAGUUGUAUAUUUAUUGUAAACACCAAGAUAACUUAAAUAAUGUUGCAGGUAUAACUUGAGGAUUUAACCCACAUGUACGAAAUAUCCUCUAUCAGAGCAAUUUGUAAGCUGUGUAGUUAAGGAAGGGUAGAAGUCAAAGCUGCUGGGAAUUAGAAAUAUAGAUUUUAUUCUUCGCUUUUCAAUCUUCCAGUUAAGUGCUUCUCAAUUCCUAGUGAAUGUCCCAGUGUGAAUGCCUCUGGGAGAAUUACCUUCAGACUACCAAACCAGAGUCAUUAUUUUGAAUAGCCUUACAUUGCUAAGAUGUUUUAAUUCACAUCUAGAAUUUCCCAAGUAGUGAAGUGGCCUCAGGGCUAAAUCAGACCACAAACUGUAAGAGUUUCAGAAUUCAGAUAUUUCUCAAAAACAUCACAAACCCAAACCUGAGAUCUAUACAAACUAGGUAAUGCCUUUUUAGGCCAAAUUUAUGCUAAAGAAUUUUUACGGGAUAGAAAUUCAUCAGAUAAUUGUUCAUUUUUCAACAGUGAUUAAAAACGCAAUUGUAAUGUCUAACGUAUAAUUUUAAAUACUCUAAUAUUCAUGUGUAACUAAGCUAUAUGACUCAAAUUUCUUAUUCAGUAUUUGUUCUCCACCCCUCCCCCAUUCCAAUAGCAAAACGCUAAGAAAUCCAUGAACCCAAUUUGCUCUAUCUUGAUAAUUUCUUGACACUGUAUACUUACAUUGGCUCAACCAUACUAAAAGCAUAUUAGUUUCUCCUUCAUUAUGAAAGUUAAAACCAAUGAAUUAGCCCACAGCGUCUCAUUCAAUAUCGACUUGCCUGAAGUCCAUAUUGGGUAACAGCUGUAUAAACAUAAAACAGUUCUGCCCUCUGGAUGGUGAAUUACUGCAAGGAGGAAUGUGCUGUGAUUUAGUUCUCCAAAGUUAAGAGCAUAAUGUGAAUAUUUACCAUAUUUGCAAUUAAGAUAAUAAAACUAUGAUGUCCAGUGGUUCUCAACUAAGAGUAAAUUUGGCAAAAUCUUGGGACAUUUAUUCCAACCAGGAGGCAUCCAGUAGGCAGAGGCUAGGAAUCCUGCUAACUGUCCUACAAUAUAAGGACAGCUCUCCAAACAAAGAGUUAUCUGGUCCAAAACAUCAAUAAUGCCAAGGUUGAAAAACUCUGCCGUAUACCUCUUGUUAAAAUUUUUUUUUUCAUUUGGCUUAUAAACAUCCAAGUAACAAUACAUUUACUCCUCAUACUUUCAAUUUUUAGAUAAAAUAUUUUAUUUUUUAAAUUUAAAAACUGCAGAAUAUUAAUGAGUUUGAAUAAAGAUGUUUCUUGAAACAAAAAACUAUUGAUUGACCCAUUGAAGUUCCAAAUGGUACUUGAAAAGAAAUGGUAUUUUAGAUAAUAGAGAUGAGUGCUAUUUAUUUCUGAAGCUGUCUUAGGUGAACAUCCAGGUAUAAAAGUGACUUGAGGGAUAUUGAAAAGGUUAAUUCAAUAUGCUUCAUAAAGCGGUUCCAGCUUAAGUCCUCUUGGGUGUAGGAGUUAAGGGGACCUUAGGAGUUAGGGGGACCUACGCCAAAUCAAGAGGAAUGAAGGUAAUGAUCUUAGCAGCAUUGUCGAAGCAUCGCUACUCCCUAGAGGGAGAGAUUGUUACUUAGGUGAAAGCGUGUACUUGGCUCCCUCUUCUAUCAUUUCAGCCAGUAAAUUAAGCAUCCACUGGAAGACACAAUUUAAAGAUUUGAUAAAAUUGAAAAAAAAGAAAGCGAAGAGAGAGAAAUAAGGAGCCACAAAUGCUAAUGUUUAAAAUAGUCUCUGGCUGGAGAGAUCUCUUUCUAAGUGACGGUAUGUGAGAAACCGACGUUAUGGCCACAGUUUUCAUUUGUAUUCUGCACUUGCUUCUCUCUCGUCUAUGACUUAAAUCAACUAACCUUGAAG